RNAcentral lists this non-coding RNA (29 nucleotides) under Homo sapiens (human). Lineage: Eukaryota; Metazoa; Chordata; Mammalia; Primates; Hominidae. The record is from RNAcentral.
UGAACACACUGGUGAAGGAGCUCUGUCCC